RNAcentral lists this ribosomal RNA (325 nucleotides) under uncultured eukaryote. RNAcentral's name for it is "partial 18S ribosomal RNA". It matches the Rfam family "Eukaryotic small subunit ribosomal RNA", at positions 1470 to 1796 of the family's 1831-position model. The record is from RNAcentral.
CCCUUAGAUGUUCUGGGCUGCACGUGCGCUACACCGAUGCAUUCAACGAGCUUUCGAUCUUGCCCGAGAGGGUUGGAUAAUCUUUUUAAAGUGCAUCGUGAUGGGGAUAGAUUAUUGCAAUUAUUAAUCUUCAACGAGGAAUUCCUAGUAAGCGCGAGUCAUCAGCUCGUGCUGAUUACGUCCCUGCCCUUUGUACACACCGCCCGUCGCUCCUACCGAUUGAAUGCUCAGGUGAGCCAUUCGGACUUUCAUCAUGCUGGUUUCCAGUUUUGAUGAAGGAAAGUCUUGCGAACCUUAUCAUUUAGAGGAAGGAGAAGUCGUAGCA